CAUACCCAAUCUAUUGCCAAAUUAGAAAUCCAGCUAGGGCAGCUAGCGAGUGCACUAAAUAAGAGAGAGGAAGGCAAGCUUCCAAGCCAACCAGUGAGUAACCCGAGAGGGCAGUACAUGGCUCAAGAGACUCACCCGAAUGAUGUUCACCAUGAACAAGCUAAUGCCAUGACUACCUUAAGAAGCGGACGCGUAGUGGACAAUAAGGUUGGAGA
RNAcentral lists this long non-coding RNA (215 nucleotides) under Phoenix dactylifera (date palm). RNAcentral describes it as "long non-coding RNA (PDAC_LNC015375)". The record is from RNAcentral. Lineage: Eukaryota; Viridiplantae; Streptophyta; Magnoliopsida; Arecales; Arecaceae.